GUGCUAUGAGGACACCACCCACAUUUGUUUUCACCUGGGAUUUUUUUUGCGAUUUUUUCUAUGUGAUAUGACAGUCAUUUAUUCUUAUUAAAUUUGCUGACCAGAGGAGCAGGAAGUGUUUUUGGACCAAGAAGAUGAAGUUUGUUACCUGUUAAGACAGAAGGGUGAGGAAGUUAUUGCAACCAAAGGCUGAUAGCUUGAUGACACUUAUGGUUACAGUUUUGGGAUGGGGAAAUUGCAGGGGUUUGGACUAGAUGGCCCUUGGGAUCCCUUUCAGCCCUACAAUUCUGUGAUUCUGUGAAAUAUGGGAAAAAUUUUUUAUAGGGGUAGUGGCUUUACCAGUGUCUCCAUUCAAAGUCCACCAUGAGGUUUGACUUGAGUUCUGACGAGGGACAUCUUGAAUGUCAAUUCAAGCCCGUCUCCCGUUGCUUCUCAUAAAAUGGGAUUAGGUCUACCUCCUUCACACUGGUUUUAAAUGAUUCAUAUAUGCCCCGUGGAGCUUCAUUUAUUGGUGUCUGCUUCUUUUCACAACAGUGUGUGAUGUGUGGGUCAUGGGGAGGCACAAGGCACAAAUUCUCUGUUGCUCUGAAGGCAAAGCAACAGAGAAGGCUUGAAAUGGAGUGGACAGGGCUCUAGCAUCUGUAUCAGUCUUCCCCAAUGUGGUGCCCUGCAGACAUUCGACUCCAAUGAACCACUGUCAACAUAAUAAAUGGUCAGCAAUGAUGGGAAUUGUAGUCUAAAACAUCUGGAGGGUACUGAGUUGUGGAAGCCUGAUAAAUUGAUACCAAGGGGAACAUGCACACUGGAUGAUGGAAGAUGGUUAAAUAUAAAAAAUAGGAUCACACUGAAGGGGCCUUGUAGGCCAUCUAGUUUAGUCCUCUGUUUGAUAUAGGAGUUCCUGAGCUAAAACAUCUGCCAUGGAUGGCUUUCCAAUCUCUGCCUGAAGAUUUGUAUGUUUAUUUGCUCCAUUGUUAAACUGCUAAUACUGUACCAUCAACUGAAACUGCAGCCCAUUUAAUAGAGCUGUGCUUCGCCUUCUUCUAGGUGACAGCGUUUCAAGUAUGAGAAACCCAUCAAGUUGCAGAUCCCUUAAGAUAAGUUUCUGCCCUCUAUUGUAACCCAGAGUCUGGUGACUUAUCUCUUUAGCCAGGCUUAGGGACAUACAGUACAUAUUGCAUAGUUGUGCUUUCACUGUGUGCAUUUUGUAUUCUUCAGAUAAUGUAGCUGGUGUGCAUUGUUUGAAAGAAUGUAAUCAGUUACAAGUAUCUUAAGAUAUGAAAUUAUGGCAUUUUUCUUUAAUGGCUUCUGAUACAUAACAAGUAGUAAUAACUCAAAAACCUGGGCAUUAAGACUCACUUUUCAUGACUGCCAUCUUUUCCGCAUAACCAUGAGCAAACAGGUGAAUUAAAAGCAUGAGCAACAUGCUUCUGAUGUAGCAAAUCACUCUUUAUUUAAAAAUGCUUUAAAAAAGAAAAGAAAGCACCUUUUUAAAGCCUGUCAAAGACAGCAUGCAAAGAUAAAAAUAAAAGUGUCAGGACAAAAAAAACCCUCCUGUUCUUUUUUCUCCUUUCUUUUCCUCUGAAUUAAUUUGUGCAUCAGUCAAAAAUCUGUCAGUGCAUAUGCAAUAUAAGUGACACGACUUAAGCUACUAAAAGCAGGAGAAAAUAACAAAUAGAACUAAAUGCUGAGAAGAGAAAAGUGACAGCUAUUAUAUGUAUUCAGCUAUAACAAUACACUCCAAAACUGAUGAAGAAAUGGUGACAGAACUGCCAAUUAUAAUUGAGUGAAGUGUAAACAGAGAUGAUACAAAGUCUGCCAAGCAGAACUGCAAGCAGGUGGCGAUGCUCUUCUUUUGACACACCCAUCCAGUAGGUGUCAGAACCUGCACAAAGCUUGUGGAAUCCUAAUGCCUAACUAGAGCAAAUGGUGACUCAUUAACACCACAUAUGGUGGAAAGGCUAACUUUUCUGGAGCAAGGUUUGGAGUAGGUGAAAUCCUAAAGGGAUAAACCUGAGACAACAAAACAGGCUGGAUUUAUUGUGUUUCAGCUACUAAUACAUCCAAAUUCUAAAAGACGAACAGAGCUCACUCAGGAUCUUACUUCAAGGAUGAAAAUGUGAAUUAAUGACAUGUCUUUUUUAAAAAAGUCAGAGAAAUGGAAAACUUAUAUUGUGCCAAGAGGAUACCUAUUCCAACUCAAGUAGUGUAUUGCUUUAUGCCAUGGAUAAUAUAUACUUCAUUAGUAUAGAAGAAGAAGAAGACGACGAUGAAGAAGUCAGAAUUCUAUAGGCCCUCUGAAUAGGAAAUGUCCAAAUGUGCCACAAGGAAUUAAAAAGGUUUAUUUGGGCUUAUCCAUGGGAAAGUGCUGAGCUCACUUUUUGUGAGUGACUGGAGAAAGUGGCAAAGACCAUUUCUUUGUAUUGAUGCAAUAAGCAGCGUCCUAAUGUUUUCUCUUUGACUAAUGUGUCCUUCAAUUUUUACAAUGGACUGAAUGGAGAAGCAUUAAUAUGCUGUGAUUUCAACAUGCUGUGAAUGAUUUCCUGAGAUUGAAGGAUCCUCCUCCGGGUUUAUUGAUUUUGGAUGUGCAUUUCUUUCUUCAGCUACUUGGAAGGAGAAGGUCCACUCAGCAUCAUUAUAGAGAAGGAUUCUUUGGAGUUUAAAAAAAUGUGUCUUCUUUACCCAAGAUAAACUCAUGGAAGAGGAAAAACGCCUUGAUUAUAGAGAAGGUUCUUUAGAAAGAAUGGCUACAAUGGAAAGGGUUCAUUAAAUAUUGUUUACUGCAGUUGAUUAAGUUGUGAACUGAUAUCACAAUUUCAUGCUGCUUAUGCCAAUCUUUUUAAACUUGGUAGAAUUAUUAAUCUGCCAUUCUAAAUCUAUCUGUGAGAAUAUCAACAAACAUAUAGAUAGAUAGUAUCCUGUUGACACUGGGUGCUUAGACUUUCAAAAUGAUUUGGGUAAAGUAGCCCACCAAAGAUUCCUCUUAUUGGCCAGUCACUAGUUCCUCCAAGAUAAUGCAUGCUUUUUAACUUGUUCAUUAAUGAUCUAGAAUUCGGGGUGAGUGUGAGGUGACCUUAUUUGCUGAUAAUACCAAAUUGAUGAUCAAAACAAAGAGGGAUUGCAAGGAUUUUAUAAAGGAUCUGUUCAAAUGACAAAUGCAGUUCAAUAUAAACAUUUGUAAGGUGAUGGACACCAAAGCAAAAAAGGUCCUAAUUUCGCAUAUGCGCUAAUUGGUUCUGAACUGGCAGUGACUGACCAGGAACAAGACCUUGGAGAGCUAAAUGAAGGUUUGGCUCAGUGUUUGGCAACUGUGAAAAAGGCAAAUUCCAUUUUAGGGAUGAUUACACAAGGGAUUGAAAAUAAGACCACACUAGAUGGACCUUUGACCUAAUCCAGCACUUUCUCCUUAUGUUAUCUUUCUCUUCAUGUAGCAAAAUCUGGCCAUAGAAAAGAAAGUGCAAAAUAGGCAUCAUAUAUAACAGCCAGUUUUAGAUAUGGGGAAACGUUCUUCUUGACCCACACUUGGAGUUUAAAUUUAAUGUAUUCACUGUGAGAUUAAGGGAGAGAGGGUGGAUUGUAGCAUUUGAAAAACUCUAAUGAAGAGACUGGGUGGUCAUGUAGCACCUGAUCAAGCACUCCUUCAAUGGGGCAUCAUGACACACAAUGGUGUGUAUAUUUGUGUGUUGUUUUGUGGGUGGGUUUGUCAGUAACCUCCAUUAAAAAUUCAAUUUAUUCCUUCUUAAUAAUCUGUAGCAGUUUACCUUCAGGAACUGAUGGAAGGAAUAAGCAGGAAUUACUGAAUAGGAAUGUAAUAUGAUGAUAUAUGACCAUUUUCUUUUACAUUUCCCAAGAAACAUUGUGCAGGAAAGUUAUGUUAAUAGGCAUCAUCACCAUAAUUGGGAAUUUAAAUGCACAAAAGUCAGAAAAUUAGAAUGAAUGAUUCCCACAGCUAUAGUGAUUCCACGACUAAUAAAUGUGUGUCUGUCUGUUCUUGAAAAGAAUGAAUAGCACAUGCAUUUAACCAUUAAUAUUCUCAUUUUUGCAAAAACAGCAUGCUGCUAUUUGUUUCUAAGAAAGCAAAAAUCAGUGAAAGUACCAUAUUAUUACCCCUGACUCACCACUCAGGGUGGUGGUAGUGUAGUGGAGAAGACUGAUAUAUAAUCUGGCAAAUCCAUGGAGCAUUUCUUUAGUCAGAUAAUUAAGUUUUUAAAAUGCUUGGUAAUCUGCUAGACUAUUCAGAGUAAGACCAUCAUUUAACUAUGCAUUUUGUGAAGAAGUCUUUCUUUCUUUCUUUCUUUCUUUCUUUCUUUCUUUCUUUCUUUCUUUCUUGGAUCUCAUUCAGCCUCAUGGCUUUAGAACCCCAUGUUUUAUUAUUUAAAGGUAAAGGGACCCCUGACCAUUAGGUCCAGUCGAGACCGACUCUGGGGUUGCGGUGCUCAUCUCUCUGAAGGAGCAGGUCCAUAGCUUGGGGGUACUCCCAGAGUGCCUUCUAUCAGUUUUGGCUGGUGGCCCAGCUAUGCCCCUGUCUGGACAGGGAUAGCCUAACUACUGUUGUCUAUGCUCUGGCAACCUCAAGGUUAGAUUUCUGGAAUGCAUUAUACGUAGGGCUGCCUCUGAAGACGGUUCAGAAACUUCAGCUAGUGCAGAAUUCAGCGGCUCACUGGAGCAAGAUGGUUUGAUCAUAUUACACCAAUCCUGGUCCGACUGCACUGGCUACCACAAUACCUCAAGGACCACCUCUUUCAGUAUGAACCUACCUGGACUCUGAGAUCAUCUUUGAGGCCCUUCUUUGUGUGCUGCCUCCUCAAGCAGUCCAGUGGGUGACAGCACGAGAACGGGCCUUCUCUGCAGUCGCUCCCUGUCUGUGGAAUGCUCUCCCCAGGAAAGUUUGCCUGGCACCUACAUUAUACAUGUUUAGGCUCCAGGCAGAAACGUUCCUUUUAAACCAGGCCUUUGGUUGAUUUGAUUGACAUUCUAUGCCCUUUUAAAAUGUGGGGUGUUUUUUGGGGGGAUGGUAAUGAGUUGUUUUAUUUUGAUUAUAUAUUUGUGGUUUUUAUUUAUUUUUUUGUUCUGCGAACCGCCUUGAGACCUCCAGGUAUAGGGCAGUAUAUUAAUUAAUUAACCCUCAAGCAGGACUUAACUGCAGCAAUGCUCUCUCGACUUGUGAUUUCCAGCAGCUGGUAUUCAGGGGCAUACUGCCUCUGUUAAUGGAGGUAAGAAGAUACCUGUUGUAUUGAUAACUCUUCUCCUGUCCAUUAAACAGGAGAGAUUCUGGGACUGCUGUGGUCGCUUAGGACUUCACCUUCAGGGCCCUCCUAUGGGCUGGCUCUGUCCUGCCAGUGGGUCAAGUCUGACAUCUGCACUACUCAAAAUCCUCACAUGGUUUCCACGUGCAACCAAUUGACACCAUCAUAUCGAUAAAAGUCUACACAAGUCUGCAUAAAUGUAACAUGUGAAUUGGCCAAAGUUAUUGAUAUUUUGUAUCUCAUACCACAGCAUUCUGGCAUAUAUUGGGAAGAAAAAUGGAUUUAACAAAGUUGAUUUCUUUCUAUGGAUAAUUUGGGAUUGGGGCAAGCGUGGGGAGCUAAACUCAUCAGACACAUUAUUGCUGGCAAAUGAUUCACUCAGCAAAAAUGUUCACAUUAAUAAAUUAUAAAAUAUGCAUGAAGAGGAACAGCUAUGUUCCAGUGGGAACAAGAAUGUUGAAAGUUAUCUGAUCUACUUGCAGAAAUGUAUGCUGUUAUGAAUUUCAAUUUUCCAUCAGGGUUACCUUAAUGUAUAUGUUUUGCAUUAAGUCAGAAUGUAUUUAGGGUUGCCAUUAAUAUAGAUGGCAAAUAUAGAUGUUACAAAUAUAUAUUUAAUUAAAACUUUAGGUUGUUUAUGCAACAAAAAUAAAUGCUUUUCAAAUUAUUGUUAGUAUAUUGAGUUUGAAAUUUAUUGUGAAAAAAUGAACCGAUUCUGGCAAUUUUGUGUCCUAUUCUUUGCUGUGAAAUGGUUGGCACUUGUUUUGGAGACUUUUCUGACCAGGAGGUUCAAAAGGUAACAGAGGCCUCAAAAGCUCAACCCAGGAAACUUUAAGAAGAAAAUGAAACCUAAAAGCUUAAAGCAAAUGUGGGGGAUAUCUGGCCUGUGGUACUAUUUAGGUGAGCUAGGCCUCCCCACAUCUCAGCCACCUGGCCAUUUGGCCAUAGCCACAUCCUGGAUGUCAUGCACGACAUCAGGUGUGGGGACAGGUAAAGUUCCAACUGGCCCAAGAAGGAGUUUGCAGUUGCCACUGAUUCUUGGGGGCCUGAAGGGGGGUGCAGGGCUCCUGCAAGUACUGAUGAUCAGCUGACAUCAGAUGGGAUGGCUUCACUAGGGUGUCACUUUUGGGACUGGACUUGAAUUCAAAGUGUUUCCUCCAGCGUUACAUAACAACUAGAACUAUUCCAUAAAGAAGUUAGUCCUCCACAUGCAGCUGCUGGGUGAUCUUGGGCCAGUCACACUUCUUUGAAGUCUCUCAGCCCCACUCACCUCACAGAGUGUUUGUUGUGGGGGAGGAAGGGAAAGGAGAAUGUUAGCCGCUUUGAGACUCCUGAAGGGGAGUGAAAGGCGGGAUAUCAAAUCCAAACUCUUCUUCUUCUUCACUUCUCCAAACACACAGCAACAUACAAAAUGGAGAACACACACUGAUCAGGACAUGGAGGCCAUGUGCUCCUCCAUGCUAGUACAACAGACCACACCCUCUUCAAGUCACAUGUAGUGGAAGUCUGUCCCAGCUCAGGAAGAAACAGGAAGUCUUCUCCUGAAUGGUACAAAACAUCCCCUAACAUGUCCACUGUAGGAAUGUUGUACUUGACUGUAGUUUUACAUCCCACACUCCCUGUAAUCACCAAUCAGCUGACCCACUUUGAACUUUGGCAGUGGUCAAUUGCCUGAUAUCUUUUUUGCUUUGUUAGUAUUUUGUGCUCUCGUUUCAUAUUUUUAAGUGGUGAACCACCCAGUGAGCUUCGGAUGAAGGGUGGUACACAAAUUUUAAAAAUCAUCAUUAUGAUGUGAGGGGAUUGACAGGUGAGUAGUUCUGCACACCUAUCAAAGUUGACUAAUGGGCAGGGGUGUGGGGAGAUAAGGAUUUGAAACACUGAUUGGAAAGAGAAAGAGAAAUCUUAGCAGAACCUUUACCUUUACCUUUACAAUAAUCAAAGUUAGAGAUGAACUACU
Molecule: long non-coding RNA, 7197 nt
Filed under: Podarcis lilfordi (Lilford's wall lizard)
Lineage: Eukaryota; Metazoa; Chordata; Lepidosauria; Squamata; Lacertidae
Source: RNAcentral